Molecule: ribosomal RNA, 915 nt
Filed under: Acinetobacter oryzae
Lineage: Bacteria; Pseudomonadati; Pseudomonadota; Gammaproteobacteria; Moraxellales; Moraxellaceae
Description: bacterial SSU rRNA
Rfam family: Bacterial small subunit ribosomal RNA
Source: RNAcentral
GGUAGCUUGCUACCUGACCUAGCGGCGGACGGGUGAGUAAUGCUUAGGAAUCUGCCUAUUAGUGGGGGACAACAUUCCGAAAGGAAUGCUAAUACCGCAUACGCCCUACGGGGGAAAGCAGGGGAUCUUCGGACCUUGCGCUAAUAGAUGAGCCUAAGUCAGAUUAGCUAGUUGGUGGGGUAAAGGCCUACCAAGGCGACGAUCUGUAGCGGGUCUGAGAGGAUGAUCCGCCACACUGGGACUGAGACACGGCCCAGACUCCUACGGGAGGCAGCAGUGGGGAAUAUUGGACAAUGGGCGAAAGCCUGAUCCAGCCAUGCCGCGUGUGUGAAGAAGGCCUUUUGGUUGUAAAGCACUUUAAGCGAGGAGGAGGCUACUUGGAUUAAUACUCUAGGAUAGUGGACGUUACUCGCAGAAUAAGCACCGGCUAACUCUGUGCCAGCAGCCGCGGUAAUACAGAGGGUGCGAGCGUUAAUCGGAUUUACUGGGCGUAAAGCGUGCGUAGGCGGCUUUUUAAGUCGGAUGUGAAAUCCCUGAGCUUAACUUAGGAAUUGCAUUCGAUACUGGGAAGCUAGAGUAUGGGAGAGGAUGGUAGAAUUCCAGGUGUAGCGGUGAAAUGCGUAGAGAUCUGGAGGAAUACCGAUGGCGAAGGCAGCCAUCUGGCCUAAUACUGACGCUGAGGUACGAAAGCAUGGGGAGCAAACAGGAUUAGAUACCCUGGUAGUCCAUGCCGUAAACGAUGUCUACUAGCCGUUGGGGCCUUUGAGGCUUUAGUGGCGCAGCUAACGCGAUAAGUAGACCGCCUGGGGAGUACGGUCGCAAGACUAAAACUCAAAUGAAUUGACGGGGGCCCGCACAAGCGGUGGAGCAUGUGGUUUAAUUCGAUGCAACGCGAAGAACCUUACCUGGUCUUGA